Molecule: non-coding RNA, 179 nt
Filed under: Paramoeba aestuarina
Lineage: Eukaryota; Discosea; Flabellinia; Dactylopodida; Paramoebidae
Source: RNAcentral
AGAGAAAGAGAUAGAGAAAUAGAUAGAGAAAAGAGAAAGAAACUGAUGAAAAAUGUAUCGUCCAGUAAAUGCCAGUGAUUCCCCUCCUCGACCUUCUUCUUCUUCUUCCUCAAGAGUACCGCUUCUUCAACCAGAAGAAAGAGAAGUUGUAAUCGAAGAAGAAGAGAGUAAGGUAUUUU